GAUGAACGCUGGCGGCGUGCUUAACACAUGCAAGUCGAACGAAGCAAUUUUCUACGAUCCCUUCGGGGUGACGGAUUAUUGACUGAGUGGCGGACGGGUGAGUAACGCGUGGGUAACCUACCUUGUACAGGGGGACAACAGUUGGAAACGACUGCUAAUACCGCAUAAGCGCACAGCAUCGCAUGAUGCAGUGUGAAAAGUUUUUUCGGUACAAGAUGGACCCGCGUCUGAUUAGCUAGUUGGUGAGGUAACGGCCCACCAAGGCGACGAUCAGUAGCCGACCUGAGAGGGUGACCGGCCACAUUGGGACUGAGACACGGCCCAAACUCCUACGGGAGGCAGCAGUGGGGAAUAUUGCACAAUGGGCGAAAGCCUGAUGCAGCGACGCCGCGUGAGCGAAGAAGUAUUUCGGUAUGUAAAGCUUCUAUCAGCAGGGAAGAUAAUGACGGAAC
Molecule: ribosomal RNA, 452 nt
Filed under: bacterium YAB2001
Lineage: Bacteria
Description: bacterial SSU rRNA
Rfam family: Bacterial small subunit ribosomal RNA
Source: RNAcentral